UUAUUAAAUACAGGUAAAGCUGCUACGUACUCAAUGGUUGAUAGAUUACUACGGUUGGUCAUAACUCUUCCCGUGUCAACCGCAACAACCAAGCAAGCCUUUUCAUCUAUGAAACUAGUCAAGACACGUCUUCGAAACAGAAUGGGAGACGACUUUCUUCGGCAUUACAUGGUCUGUCUAUAUUAG
RNAcentral lists this ribosomal RNA (186 nucleotides) under Triticum aestivum (bread wheat). RNAcentral's name for it is "partial small subunit ribosomal RNA". Lineage: Eukaryota; Viridiplantae; Streptophyta; Magnoliopsida; Poales; Poaceae. The record is from RNAcentral.